GAAAAAAGAUAAUGAAGGGGCUUGCUAACUGCAAGUCGAGCGAACAGAAGGGAGCUUGCUCCCGGAUGUUAGCGGCGGACGGGUGAGUAACACGUGGGUAACCUGCCUGUAAGACUGGGAUAACUCCGGGAAACCGGAGCUAAUACCGGAUAGUUCCUUGAACCGCAUGGUUCAAGGAUGAAAGACGGUUUCGGCUGUCACUUACAGAUGGACCCGCGGCGCAUUAGCUAGUUGGUGGGGUAAUGGCUCACCAAGGCGACGAUGCGUAGCCGACCUGAGAGGGUGAUCGGCCACACUGGGACUGAGACACGGCCCAGACUCCUACGGGAGGCAGCAGUAGGGAAUCUUCCGCAAUGGACGAAAGUCUGACGGAGCAACGCCGCGUGAGUGAUGAAGGUUUUCGGAUCGUAAAGCUCUGUUGUUAGGGAAGAACAAGUGCGAGAGUAACUGCUCGCACCUUGACGGUACCUAACCAGAAAGCCACGGCUAACUACGUGCCAGCAGCCGCGGUAAUACGUAGGUGGCAAGCGUUGUCCGGAAUUAUUGGGCGUAAAGGGCUCGCAGGCGGUUUCUUAAGUCUGAUGUGAAAGCCCCCGGCUCAACCGGGGAGGGUCAUUGGAAACUGGGAAACUUGAGUGCAGAAGAGGAGAGUGGAAUUCCACGUGUAGCGGUGAAAUGCGUAGAGAUGUGGAGGAACACCAGUGGCGAAGGCGACUCUCUGGUCUGUAACUGACGCUGAGGAGCGAAAGCGUGGGGAGCGAACAGGAUUAGAUACCCUGGUAGUCCACGCCGUAAACGAUGAGUGCUAAGUGUUAGGGGGUUUUCCGCCCCUUAGUGCUGCAGCUAACGCAUUAAGCACUCCGCCUGGGGAGUACGGUCGCAAGACUGAAACUCAAAGGAAUUGACGGGGGCCCGCACAAGCGGUGGAGCAUGUGGUUUAAUUCGAAGCAACGCGAAGAACCUUUACCAAGUCUUGACAUCCUCUGACACCCUAGAGAUAGGGCUUUUCCCUUUCGGGGAACAGAGUGACAGGUGAUGCAUGGUGUCGUCAGCUCGUUGUCGUGAAGAUGUUGGGUUAGUCCCGCAACGAGCGCAACCUUUGAUCUUAGCUGCCAGCAUUUAGUUGGGGCACUCUAUGGGUGACCUGCCGCGUGACAAUCGGGAGUAUGGUGGGAUGACGUCAAUCAUUCAUGCCCCUUAUGAACCUUGAG
Molecule: ribosomal RNA, 1211 nt
Filed under: Bacillus pumilus
Lineage: Bacteria; Bacillati; Bacillota; Bacilli; Caryophanales; Bacillaceae
Description: bacterial SSU rRNA
Rfam family: Bacterial small subunit ribosomal RNA
Source: RNAcentral